GACAAAAAAAUGGAAUAGAUUUAUAGAGAGAUAUGGGACACACGUAAUAACUGGGGUGAGCGUAGGAGGACAAGACGUGGUUGUUGUGAGACAAGACAAGUCAUCCGAUCUCGAUACCGACCUCCUCCGUCACCAUCUCUACGAUCUCGGCGACCAACUGUUCACAGGCUCUUGUCUUCUCUCUACUCGCCGGCCUAAUAAGGUCAGCACAAUUUUAAGUUGUCGAUAAAGUCAGCACAACACAUUCUUUUGUUGUGUUCAUUAUUGGAGUUUGGUAUUGCAGUUUCCAGAGGCGUUCAAUGUCUUUGACGACAAAGAAACGGUCGCUUUCAAUAAUUUCUCGAUGAACUCCAAAGAUGUAAGUAAGUUUCACAGAAGCUAAACAACAUAUUGUAUGAUGAACAUUUUCAUCACUAGAAAAAGCCAUUUACAUUUUCAGGGGAUAACGGUUAUAUGCGCCAAAAGAGGAGGCGACGGGAGAGCAAAAAGCCAUAGCGAAUGGCUAAUAACAGUUCCCGAAAAGCCUGACGCCAUCAACUUCAACUUUAUUCCGAUCACAUCACUGCUCAAAGACGUCCCUGGCUCUGGUCUUUUAGCUCAUGCCAUGUCUCUCUACCUUAGAUGUAACUUCACUUACCUACUCUAACCUUAAUAUUUGACUAUUGAUGGGAGUAGUAGUUUUGAUUGAAGGAGUUAAUUUGGUAAUUUUGACAGACAAGCCGCCGUUAAUGGACCUACAAUACUUUUUGGACUUCUCUGGGCCUAGAACGUGGGCUCCCAUUCAUAACGACCUUCCGUUUGGCGCGGCGCCAAAUAUGGCUUCUGCGUAUCCAGCUCUUCAUAUCAACUUCAUGGGUCCCAAACUAUACGUUAAUACCACUCACGUACGUAUAUAUUUUACAUCCCUAGUUCUUGCUUGCAUUUUUUUGUAGUUCUUUCACAAAGUCACUUACAUUGUUAACUAAUUAUAGGUGACCACGGAGAAGAACCCAGUAACAGGAUUGCGAUUGUUCCUCGAAGGCAAGAAAUGCAAUAGGUAAAAAGUCAACCAAAGCAAAUUAACUUAAACUUGACAUUUGUUUUUAGAAAAUUACUGUGAUUAUUAAGCAAAGAAGGGACUGGCUAGAAUUUCUUGGUUAUCAAGAAUCAAGUCUAGAACUAGAGCUAAACUUGAAGAUAAUAUGGCUGGAAGCCAAACAUAAACUAGGCAGAGCCGCAGAGAAGGAACUAAUGCAACAGUUGUCUAGAUGAAGAAGAUAAUAUAUAUAUAUAUGGCUUGAAGUCUAGAAACUUUUGGUUAUCAAAAAGAAAAAAAAACUAGGUUUGAUGAUAAUUUGCGUAACGAUGCGAUUUGUAAUUAAAUAUCUCUUCAUGUGCGUAGCUAUAUAUCGAUAUAAUAUAGUAAUGUGUUAUGUUCAUCAGGCUGGCUAUACACUUGCAACACCUAGAAAAUACGAGGACAACUGUUGGUGAAAAGAUCACCGACAAUCAUAGAUGGAGAGGCUCCGACGAAAUAUCUGAUAGCAAUCGUUACUUCGAACCAUUAAACGGUAAGAAAUUCUCACACGUGUGUACAGCUCCAGUGAAGUAUGACCCAAACUGGACCACAACAACAACAACAAGCAAACACUCAAGCAACGUCGCUUACAUAGUCACCGGAGCUCAGCUAGAAGUGCAGAAACACGGCUCAAAAUCCGUUCUCCAUCUCCGUCUCCGUUUCACCGGAGUCUCUGAUCACUACGUCGUUCAGAAAGAUUGGGUCCAUGGACCAGGAACUUCCCAAAGAUCUGGAAUCUUCUCUUCCAUGAGCUUACCGUUGACUAGUGGGAGUGUUCAUCAUAAUAUGGUCACUAACAAAGACAAAAACGAGGUCGUUUUGGACUCUGGUGUCUACCCAAGAGGACCUCCUGUGCCGGCGAAUAACAAGAUCGUGAAAUUCGUGGAUCUUUCGCAGUUAUGUCGAGGACCUCAAAACAGUCCUGGUCAUUGGUUAGUCACGGGUGUUAGGCUUUAUUUGGAUAAAGGGAAACUUUGCUUGCAUGUCAAGUUUGCUCUGCUACAUCACCAACGCCUUCUUGGCGCAAGACAAGUCAUCCGAUCUCGAUACCGACCUCCUCCGUCACCAUCUCUACGAUCUCGGCGACCAACUGUUCACAGGCUCUUGUCUUCUCUCUACUCGCCGGCCUAAUAAGGUCAGCACAAUUUUAAGUUGUCGAUAAAGUCAGCACAACACAUUCUUUUGUUGUGUUCAUU
Molecule: long non-coding RNA, 2253 nt
Filed under: Brassica napus (rape)
Lineage: Eukaryota; Viridiplantae; Streptophyta; Magnoliopsida; Brassicales; Brassicaceae
Description: long non-coding RNA (BNAP_LNC016990)
Source: RNAcentral